GACGAACCGUGCGAACGUUGUUCGGAUUCACUGGGCUUAAAGGGCGCGUAGGCGGGCUCGCCAGUCUGUGGUGAAAGCCCCCGGCUCAACCGGGGAAGUGCCGUGGAUACUGCCGAGUCUUGAGGAGGGUAGGGGCAUCUGGAACGCUGGGUGGAGCGGUGAAAUGCGUUGAUAUCCAGCGGAACUCCGGUGGCGAAGGCGAGGUGCUGGACCCUUUCUGACGCUGAGGCGCGAAAGCCAGGGGAGCAAACGGG
RNAcentral lists this ribosomal RNA (254 nucleotides) under uncultured bacterium. RNAcentral's name for it is "partial 16S ribosomal RNA". It matches the Rfam family "Bacterial small subunit ribosomal RNA", at positions 524 to 776 of the family's 1533-position model. The record is from RNAcentral.